This 302-nucleotide unclassified non-coding RNA is filed under the name uncultured Hymenochaetales. RNAcentral's name for it is "sequence contains ITS2". Lineage: Eukaryota; Fungi; Basidiomycota; Agaricomycetes; Hymenochaetales. The record is from RNAcentral.
UAAUCUCAGUUCCCUCAGGUUUUUCCUAAUGUGAAGGCCUGCUCAGGUGAAUUGGACUUGGAGGUUUUUAUGCAGGUCCCCUUGUAGUUUUAAUACUACUGGGAAUCAGCUCCUCUUAAAAACAUUAGCUGGAGGGCGCAGUGGUUAAGGGCUCUUUAUUUAUAGCAUUGUUCAUUUGCUAUGGUGUAAUAAUUAUUUCAUCAUGGCCUUGGAGAAUGAACAGUGUGCAAUUAAAUGAGGAGUUCUUUUGGUUGCUUUUCUCUGCUUCGAAUCAGUCAGACUUCAACUGACAAUAAUUGACU